UACGGAGGGGGCUAGCGUUGUUCGGAAUUACUGGGCGUAAAGCGCACGUAGGUGGCUUUACAAGUCAGGGGUGAAAGCCCGCGGCUCAACCGCGGAAUUGCCCUUGAGACUGUAUCGCUUGAACACGGGAGAGGUGAGUGGAAUUCCGAGUGUAGAGGUGAAAUUCGUAGAUAUUCGGAAGAACACCAGUGGCGAAGGCGACUCGCUGGACUGAUACUGACGCUGAGGUGCGAAAGCGUGGGGAGCAAACAGGAUUAGAUA
RNAcentral lists this ribosomal RNA (261 nucleotides) under uncultured bacterium. RNAcentral's name for it is "partial 16S ribosomal RNA". It matches the Rfam family "Bacterial small subunit ribosomal RNA", at positions 524 to 784 of the family's 1533-position model. The record is from RNAcentral.